GACGAACGCUGGCGGCGUGCCUAACACAUGCAAGUCAACUUGACUGAAGGAGCAAUCUGACAGUAGAGUGGCGCAAGGGUGCGUAACGCGUAAGUAACUUGCCCAAGGUAAGGAAUAACGUCGAGAAAUCGGCGCUAAUACCUCAUAAUGCAGCGGAUCCGCAUGGAUAUGUUGUUAAAGGUUUACCGCCUUGGGAUAGGCUUGCGUCUGAUUAGUUAGUUGGUGUGGUAACGGCACACCAAGGCUACGAUCAGUAACUGGUCUGAGAGGAUGAUCAGUCACACUGGAACUGAGACACGGUCCAGACUCCUACGGGAGGCAGCAGUGAGGAAUAUUGGGCAAUGCUCGAAAGAGUGACCCAGCAACGCCGCGUGGAGGAUGAAGGUAUUCUAUAUCGUAAACUCCUGUGAGAGCAGACGAAAGACAGAUUAUUAAUCUGGAUGACUGUAUGCUCAGAGGAAGCCCCGGCUAACUACGU
Molecule: ribosomal RNA, 478 nt
Filed under: uncultured bacterium
Lineage: Bacteria
Description: bacterial SSU rRNA
Rfam family: Bacterial small subunit ribosomal RNA
Source: RNAcentral